RNAcentral lists this ribosomal RNA (253 nucleotides) under uncultured bacterium. RNAcentral's name for it is "partial 16S ribosomal RNA". It matches the Rfam family "Bacterial small subunit ribosomal RNA", at positions 524 to 776 of the family's 1533-position model. The record is from RNAcentral.
UACAGAGACUGCAAGCGUUAUUCGGAAUCACUGGGCGUAAAGGGCGCGUAGGCGGCCUGAUAAGUAGGGGGUGAAAUCCUGUGGCUCAACUGCAGGGCUGCCUCCUAGACUGUCGGGCUUGAGCACGGUAGAGGCAGAUGGAAUUCCCGGUGUAGCGGUGGAAUGCGUAGAGAUCGGGAAGAACAUCGGUGGCGAAGGCGGUCUGCUGGGCCGUUGCUGACGCUGAGGCGCGACAGCGUGGGGAGCAAACAGG